Molecule: ribosomal RNA, 779 nt
Filed under: uncultured Neocallimastigales
Lineage: Eukaryota; Fungi; Neocallimastigomycota; Neocallimastigomycetes; Neocallimastigales
Description: partial large subunit ribosomal RNA
Rfam family: Eukaryotic large subunit ribosomal RNA (bases 1-669)
Source: RNAcentral
CGCAUCUGUGCAUGCAGCAUAUCAAUAAGCGGAGGAAAAGAAACUAACAAGGAUUCCCUCAGUAACGGCGAGUGAAGCGGGAAGAGCUCAAAUUUGAAAUCUUCAGAGGUCUACCUUGCACGAAUUGUAGUUUAAAGAAGUGUUUUCUGUGACGAUCUGGUAAUAUAAGUUCUUUGGAAUAGGACAUCACAGAGGGUGAGAAUCCCGUCUAUGACAUUGCGAUUUGUCAGCUUUGUGAUACACUUUCAAAGAGUCGGGUUGUUUGGGAAUGCAGCCCAAAACGGGAGGUAAAUUUCUUCCUAAGGCUAAAUAUUGGCGAGAGACCGAUAGCGAACAAGUACCGUGAGGGAAAGAUGAAAAGAACUUUGAAAAGAGAGUUAAACAGUACGUGAAAUUGUCAAAAGGGAAGCGUUUGACACCAGUGUUGUUUUUCUGAAAAUCAAUUAAAGAACUGUUUAUGCUAAGUUGUUUAGACUUUAUCAGCUAACUGUUUAGUUUUGAGCUUUUCUUUAAUGCACUUUUCAGUUAACAAGUCAACAUCAAUUUCUUUUGCUGUAAAAAAGUUAAAGAAAGGUAGCUCAUGGCUCCGGUCGUGAGUGUUAUAGUCUUUUUCCUAUGCGGUAGGAGAGACUGAGGUCUGCAGUGUAGGCUAUUUGGCUAGAUACUCAGGUGCUAUGUGAUACCAUUUCAUAAACAACUUGUUGAUUAUGUUUUGUCUAUUGCAUACUCGCUUGUACUAUCAUACCUACGCUUAGGAUGUUGACGAUCAGCUGAGCGCG